Molecule: long non-coding RNA, 726 nt
Organism: Dermochelys coriacea (leatherback sea turtle)
Lineage: Eukaryota; Metazoa; Chordata; Testudines; Dermochelyidae
Exons: 2
Source: RefSeq, a predicted model, not a curated record
GGGAGUUGAGAGCAGCUCAGCAGCUCCCAGGAAGUUAUUGGCACUUCAAGAAAACUUGGUAGCUGUGCAGCCCCCAUCCCUCAGACCUGCAGUUGACCUCAAAAGGGCAAAAGUUGGAAGGUGUGUGGCAAAUGAGGCCGGGAACUGCAAGAAGAGAAAGAAUUGAUCAUGUGGCUCAGGCAGUUGAAUGCUUCUCUGGAGAAUUUGAUUAUACCCUUGCUUCUGGACAAAACUCCCAUGUGAUGCUAGGCAAGUCAUGUAAACUAACAUUGGCCACUGUGUGUUCCUCAUUUUCUGGGUACCCAACUUGAGAUUUGUGGGAUCUGACUUGCAGAAAUGCUGAGAACUCUCAGUUGCAGCUGAGGUCAAUGGGACCUGUACUCUCAACAUGAAGUGUUAUUAAAUACUGAAUAUUCUGAAUGCUAAAUUUGAUCUUUUGACUUUAAUCUCUGUGCCUCAAGACUUGUCUACACAAAGAAAUUAAUUUUAUUCCAAAAAGUGUAUCCACACAAGGAGUUAUUUCAAUCAAUUCCCCCACAUAGACAAGUCCUCAGCUCCCCAACAGUAAAAUGAGGAUGGACCUAUCACCUCACCUCACAGGGGCAUUUGAAGAGAAAUUUAUUUACAUUUGUAAAGUGCUAGAAUUAGAGCACAAUACAAAAGUUGAUUAGGAUCGUGUGCAGUAAAGAAUGCAUGAGGCCACACAUCAAAUGAUAGAGAAAUAUU